Molecule: ribosomal RNA, 446 nt
Filed under: uncultured bacterium
Lineage: Bacteria
Description: partial 16S ribosomal RNA
Rfam family: Bacterial small subunit ribosomal RNA
Source: RNAcentral
CCUACGGGAGGCAGCAGUAGGGAAUUUUCGGCAAUGGGGGGAACCCUGACCGAGCAACGCCGCGUGAACGAAGAAGUUAUUCGUAUUGUAAAGUUCUUUUAUCAGGGAAGAAAGAGAAAUUUGACGGUACCUGAAGAAUAAGCUCCGGCUAACUACGUGCCAGCAGCCGCCGUAAUACGGAGGGAGCGAGCGUUAUCCGGAAUUAUGGGACGAAAGGGGUGCGUAGAGGGCAUAGUAAGUCUUUUGUAAAAAUGCUGGGCUAAACCCAGUAGGGCAAAAGAUACUGCAAAGCUAGAGUAUGACAGAGGAAAGUGGAACUACAUGUGUAGCGGUAAAAUGCGUAAAUAUAUGUAGGAACACCAGUGGCGAAGGCGGCUUGCUGGGUCGAUACUGACAUUGAGGCACGAAAGCGUGGGGAGCAAACAGGAUUAGAUACCCCUGUAGUC